Molecule: ribosomal RNA, 216 nt
Filed under: Glomeromycotina sp.
Lineage: Eukaryota; Fungi; Glomeromycota
Description: partial small subunit ribosomal RNA
Rfam family: Eukaryotic small subunit ribosomal RNA (bases 40-216)
Source: RNAcentral
GGGCCAGUUGGUUGGUCGUGCCACCGGUACGUACUGGUCUCACUGAUUCCUCCUUCCUGAAGAACCGUAAUGCCAUUAAUUUGGUGUUGCGGGGAAACAGGACUGUUACUUUGAAAAAAUUAGAGUGUUUAAAGCAAGCUAACGCUUGAAUACAUUAGCAUGGAAUAAUGAAAUAGGACGAUCGAUCCUAUUUUGUUGGUUUCUAGGAUUGACGUA